GACAACACUCUUUGCUAGCGACUCGUUCUGAGUUGUUGAGAUGGCAUCUGAUAUAAUGAGUGAAAUCCCUUUUUGUUGAAUCCUCGCACCAUUUAAUUCCCUUGUAGACCAUUUAUUGUUCUUGACAAUGUCUGAGUAUAAUAAACCCUUCUCAGUUUUCCUAUGUGAUGUUUUACCUAUCGGUUGGGCCUUAGCAUUUAUGAAGACUGAUAUUUUGGUAGCUAUGUCCAUCCAUCCAGAGUUUAAGGACCACUCAGGUAUGAUGAUGACAUCUCUUUUCUUGUCCUGCACCUUUAUAAUACUAAUAUACCGACCAAAUUUGUUGUAGUUCCUAGCGCAGAAAAGCUCGGUAAAGUGGUCCUAACGUUUCCAUCUGCGUACAGUGUAUCCAUGACUUUUUAAAGCUUCCUUGAGGGUGUAGGCUACCCACUCCAUUGUCUUCUGGCUAAUACUCAUCCUCAUCAUCAUCUUGCGGCCUCUCUCUACCCAAUCGUACCAAGUUUCGGCUCUGGAUACCACCCUGGUAAUGUCGUACGAUUUGAAACCAACAGCAAAGAAAAUUGUAUCAUCCCCCAUAGUUGCAUAGAGAGAAAAGGGAAGAAAAGCUUAAAGAAGUAGAAGAAGAAAGAAGAGGAGAAAGAAAGGAAAGAAGGCGCAGGUAUGUUUCCAGCAAUGGAAGAUCACCGAAAAGGGAUUCUAGG
Molecule: long non-coding RNA, 701 nt
Filed under: Solanum tuberosum (potato)
Lineage: Eukaryota; Viridiplantae; Streptophyta; Magnoliopsida; Solanales; Solanaceae
Description: long non-coding RNA (STUB_LNC003418)
Source: RNAcentral